CUUUCAACCCACCUGUUACUAGGAGGGUUGUUGUAAC
This 37-nucleotide non-coding RNA is filed under the name 'Nostoc azollae' 0708. The record is from RNAcentral. Lineage: Bacteria; Bacillati; Cyanobacteriota; Cyanophyceae; Nostocales; Nostocaceae.